This 4807-nucleotide long non-coding RNA is filed under the name Homo sapiens (human). RNAcentral describes it as "long non-coding RNA NONHSAT179602.1". Lineage: Eukaryota; Metazoa; Chordata; Mammalia; Primates; Hominidae. The record is from RNAcentral.
UCUUUUUCUAGGAAAUCCAUCCUAAGAUGAGAAUCUCAUCAGAAACUUCCCUUCCAGGCCUGAAGCCUUCCAGUAGCCUCUUUGUGGACAUGUCAGAGCUUUGGUAGAGUCUGAGGCUCAAGUUCAAAUCCUGAGCAAGGUCUUAAAUAUUCCUGCUCAGCCGGAUUCACCCUUUGGGAUGUGAGUACUAGUGGGCCUCAGCCUCUCGAGUCAUUAGAACUACAGGAAAAAAAAAAAGAACACACAGAAAAUGUCUCUGAGCCCACAGACACAUUCAUCAGCUAAAGGACUGCCGAGGACCUUAGCCCAAAGCUCUCUGCCCACUCUCUGGGUCUGAGUGAUUGACGAUGUCGGGAGUGUCACUGCUGGAAGGAAUUCAGGAUCAGAACCACUUUCAUCUUGUGUCAGGAGUCUGAACUCCAUGGCUGUCUGGUGUCUGCCAGGAAGAGAAAAUUUGGACACACAGGGAGAAAACCACAGGGAGGAGAUGGCCAUCUACAAUUCCAGAAAAGCAGCCUCAGAAGAAACCAAUCUGCAAACAUCUUUAUCUGCAACUCCCUGCCUCCCAAAUGGAGGGUGUCUGCUGUCAGAGAUGGGCAAGGAUGGGUGUCAGCCAUUGGAGAGCUGUUCCAGGGAGGGAGCCCGACCACUCUCUGGCCUUAGCCAGCCCAGUCAGCACUGGAGAAAGACCUCAUCCAACGCUGAAAUAGAUGGUGCUAGUGUAUGCAUUACAAUAGCAGGUACUGCUUUGAACUGUACAGGAAUCUGCGCCUAAAAGGAAGAGGGCAGAAUGCCCGACAGUUGGGAAGACUAUAGUGAAGCCAUUCCGCGGGACCUCCUCCCUCUACUUGCAGGGCGGCCUGGUGCGCAGAAACAGGGUCUUGCUAUGUUGACCAGGCUGAUCUCAAACUUCUGACCUCAAGCAGUCCUUCCACCUCAGCCUCCUGAAACACUGGGAUUACAGGCCAGAGCCACCAUGCCAGGCUAUGAAGUUUUAUUUUAAGUUUCGAGAUGUGGGGAUUUCUUUUUUAAAGCAGCAAGUACUACCUGAACUAAAACGGGUGAUUUUGCAACUUGCUACGGAUUAUGGAAAUAGUUGGCAUCUAUAUUGGUGAGGUACCCACCAAAACUCAAACAGAAGGAAUGCCAUUUUGGAGAACGAAUCUCAACUUUAACCUUCUUUCAUCCGUGGGUCGCCUCCAGAGCUGAGAGAAAUGCAUAUUUGUUGUGAGUAAAGAGACAGAAAGGGAAUGAAUUUCCAAGAAGACCAGCGUAGAACGGAAAAAUAUCAGAGGAGGGAGAAUUGUUAAGGAUUUCCAGUAUCUCAAGUGUGGAUGCUGUCCUGAGCUGACCCAAGGCUCUGGAAAGGUGAAAUCCUACUCACCAAUAACAAGAAAUGAAUUAUUGACAAAUGCAGUAACUUGGAUGAAUCUCCAGGACCUUCUGUGAGGUGACAGAUUAUGAUGUAAUCAUUGAUGGCUGUUAACAUCACACAAUAAGGCCUUAUGAAACUCACACAGCACCACCUCUAAAGCAGUCUUGUCACAAAAUAUUAAACCUGGACCUGAUCAAGCAUCUGGACUGGCUUAUGGAUAUAGAGAAAAUGUAGGGGAUAGAUGAGCACGGGAAAUGUCUCCGUGGGGCAAAAUUCACGAAAUUCAGAUUGUUGGACACUCUCCAGGACAAAAGGUCUAGAUUCUUCAAAAACAACAACAUCGAAAAAAAAAAACUGCCAGAAAGAAAAAAUACAGAGGGAGAAGGACACAGAACACAUUUAUGAGUCUUUUCACCCUCAUUUCGUUGAAGAUUUUAUUGGCCGAAGAACCCUCAGUAGGCACGAAAUUCAUUCUCACAAGCAGAGAGAUGCAUUAUGCUCCAUUUAUUGCUCAUCCUAAAUUAUAAACAUUUCCAGUGAAUGUAAAGGAAGAUAUGAUUGAAAAGGACUCUGUGAAGACAGGAUGUUUCUGUACAGUCCUUGUAUCUGCUCACCUAUUCCAAACUUUCCAGAGAUUUUACCAGAGGUUUAAGAUAUUCUCCUGAGGGUUUGCUGUAGAGAGAUUUUUCUUAACUAAGGAGUGCAAGUAGCAAGCAAUAGCCCACCCAGUUGGAGACAAAAAAGAAGGGUGUCAGUGUUCCCACUGUUAAAAAACAAAAAAAAAUCACCCUGGACACCUCUGAGAAUUAUACAAGGGGAUGUACACAGCCCUGCUUUAUUUGAGUUCAAAAGGAAGGUGGGUUUUGAAAGAAGAACAAGGAGAGUAGAUCUCUCUGGAUCUUCUGAUGCUCACAGCAAAGAGCUCAAGGUAUCUGAGUCAACUCUUGAGGCUUCUUCGAACAGAGGGAUGAAGAGAGAAUAUGGCAAGCUUGCCAACAGAUCCCAGAAGUUUUAAGAGAAAAGAACAGAUUGCUCUUUGCAAAACAAACCGAGCUGGGUGCAUGGAGCCCCAGUAGACAGAAAGUGAAGAAAACAUCAACGUUCUGAAGUUUUAGAUAGGUGCACCAUCCCUUAUGGAUACCAAUCUGUGCUCCCCAUAAACUUCUGUGCCCAGGGUCAACUGGCCAGGGACAACUGGCUCACCAGGAGGCCUACAUAGCCUCUUCUUCAGGCCCUAAUUACAGCUCUAUGCAAUAGGGACUCUGCCAUCUGACAGCCAAGGAGGUGGUUCGGUUUCUGCACAUGGUUUUUUCCGCUGGGUCCCUUGAGGUCCAUGGUAACCUCUUCCUCAUUCUCUACAGGCAGAUCACACUUUGUAAUAAGAUCAGAGGCAGAGAACUUUGACCAGAUCACACUUUAUAAUAAGAUCAGAGGCAAAGAACUCUGACCAGAUCACACUUUAUAAUAAGAUCAGAGGCAGAGAACUUUGACAACUAUCUCCUUGCCCUCUGGCCCUGGGGUCAGGGCUACUCAAACAACACCUGCUGUCCCAAACCCGGAGAAGUGUAGAUUUUGGCACUGGUAGAGGAAUAACAGCUAUUGUUGACACUUAAUCUUGUGGGCCUGGAAUUUCAACUAUGUUUUCACAACUCGGAGCCUAUUGCUGCCACCUCUGUCAGGGAAGAUAAAUGGGCAUGAAUAAUAGACAGAUGAGUUUCCCAAAAGCCCAGACAGGCUGCAGGGAACACGUAAUGAGCAGACAGUGUGGUUCACGCCGGGGAGCCCAGGUUUAUCCAGGCCUCAUCCUCACUCCCUUUCUCUACUGAUAAUUGGACCCAACAGGACCAUUCCGAAUCAUUUUUCUCUCUUCAGUUAUUCUUCAGUUCUACUCAAAGGGUGAAGAAAGAUGAUACGAUGUGAUGGACAACAGAGACUUAUAUGGUGGGGUCUGGGCUGGUCUUUCUGAAGCUAAGACUGGCAGGAUGAGCAGGAGUUUGCCAGACAAAGAGGAGUGGAGUUGUUUUCCAAACACAUCUCAGCACAAAGUGUUGUCUUUGCUGGGAGCUGAAAAAAGAUAGUGUGGGCAGAGACCAUUAGGUGAGACGCUUGAUAUGAGAUACAACCUCAACAGGUGGAAGAAGAUCAUGAGAGAUGAAGAGAGGAAUAUAGUACAGCAGAGAGGACACAGAAGCUGACGUCAGGGUGUCUCAGUUUGAAACCAGUGGCCACCCUGUUCCUCUCCCAUGUGGUCCCAUCAUGGGCCUCUAGGGUCUGGGAUAAGAGGUUAAUGAAUAUCUCAUACCCUAAGCAGGGGUGGUCCCUGCACUUUAGCAAAAAGUUAAGGAACUAGGGAAAAGAGAUGGAAAUAAUAAAGAGAUGGGACAAAGACUUUGAAGACCAAAGCCCCUGGGCUAUUCUCUUUUUUAAAUUUUUUUAUUUAAAUUUUCAUUUAUUUUUAUCAAGAUAGGGUCUCACUAUGUUGCCCAGGUUGGUCUCAAACUUUUGGCCUAAAGCAAUCCUCCCACCUUGGCCUCCCAAUGUGCUGGGAUUACAAUGUGAGCCACCACGUCCAGCCUCCUGGGAUAUUUCUCAAUGAAACAUUGGAUGCCAAGAUUGGUUUUGUGCCACAUGCCAAUUUCACAGAAGCCAGUCUAUGAGCCACCAGCUCUACUCAGCAAUUACAGUUUCUGGAACUUUGGCUAAAUUCCUGUAGAUGCACCACUGCUUGUGGCCUGACUCUUUGCCACCCAAGUGCGCUCAGCCUCCCCUGGGGAGUCUGCCAGGCUUGCAUGGCUCCCACUGCACUUGCUGUGCUGGGACCGAAAACAGUUUUUGUGCCCCUAGCUUAACUCCACUGGAUUCAUAGAGGCUUUGGCCUCCUCAAUGGCUGUCCUGGGACAGGGAGGCUGGUUAGCACAAUUAACACAACCUGGUCAUGCAAGGCAUUGAUGGUCCGUAACAUGAACUUUGACCAGUAGGAGACAGAGAAUGGAAAAAAGCCAGCAGAUAAAUCAUCUGGCCUUCCUCCCCUAUGACAGACUGUUCUGAGCCACAGUGUUUCACAUGUCUUCCUGGAGAUGUCCCACAUGACUUGAGCAACCAGCUGGAGCUCUGGAGAAACUGUGGCCAUCCUGGGGAAGAAACAGGCCCAGAGAAGUUGGGUAACUCAUCAAAGGUCACAGAGCUAAGAGUGGCAGAGUCAGGCCUGGAGCCCAGGAAGUCUGGUUUCGAAUUUCAUGCUUCUAACCUGAGCACUGUACUGCUUGGUGGAGUUCUCUGCUAGUCCUACCUUUCAGGCAGAGGUGAUGCAGCAAGAAAGCUGCCACCAGAUGCAGCCCCUUGAUCUCGGACUGCCCAGCCUCUAGAACUGUGAGCCAAUUAAAUUUUUCCUUUGUAAAUUACCUAGUCUCUGGUAUCCUGUUAUAGCAGCAU